Molecule: long non-coding RNA, 926 nt
Organism: Ostrinia nubilalis (European corn borer)
Lineage: Eukaryota; Metazoa; Arthropoda; Insecta; Lepidoptera; Crambidae
Exons: 2
Source: RefSeq, a predicted model, not a curated record
UUUUGCAUUAAAAUCUUAAUGCGGUUCACAGAAUAGAUCUACCUACCAAGUUUCAACAGUAUAGCUCUUAUAGUUUCGGAAAAAAAUGGCUGUGACAUACGGACGGACAGACAGACAUGACGAAUCUAUAAGGGUUCCGCUUUUUGCCAUUUGGCUACGGCAUUUGUACUUGUAAGUACAAAAUUAGAUAAGGGCACAAUAAGGGUUUUGAAAUGAGAUGAAAUGAGUGGUAAUAUUACUGCGGAUUGCGAUAAAUAUUAAGUUGAAACUUUAAAUGAUUAAAGAAAAUGAUUUAUGAAUUAGAUGCUGUUACACCAUACCUAAGGCAUUACAAUCAAUUUGAUAUACCUACUUGAAAAUGAGUUCAACCGUCAAUAUAAAAGUGGAGAGAAAUAUCAACAGGCUCAGUUUCUAAACUGGACACAAUGAAACUAUUAUCCUGCUUUUUAUUGGUGACCACUAUAGGCCUGGCCUGUGGCUUUGCCUACUAUCCACCGCCACCGCCACCGACGCCGCCGAGUCCAAUGCAUGCGUGCGGUUGUCCUUCGCCACGUCUAUUACCAUAUGAACCGUUGUGUGGAAGCAACUACAAGACCUACCCCAACAAAUGCGAGUUGGGCUGCGACCAUAGCCAAGGUGUUGGCGGUAUAUUUGUACUGUACAAAGGACCCUGUGUGUCCCAUUAUCCUCCCCCUCCCACACCUUCCCCGGGGUCAAUAAUAAUUGCAGGCGGCCCACAAGGCGCGGGAAGCCCUGCCUAUUAGGCAGUUAAAUUGAUUAAAUUAUAAAAAGAACAUGAAAUGUUCGUGAUCUAUAUUUAUUUUUAUGUAUUAAAAAUAUAUUGUAUUUAUGUUCAUUUUUUAUUUUUUUUACCUAUUUAUGGGGUUUAAAAUAAUUGUUGAAUUAAAGUAUAUGUAUUUAUAGUU